UUGAAAAUACUCCCAGAUCAUCAAUUCAGUUUUCGGAAACAAAAUUCAACAGUAGAACAAAUCCAUCGCAUAACACACAUUAUCAACCAAACCCUUGAAAAGAAAAAAUAUUGCUCAGCGAUAUUCCUAAACAUUCAACAGGCAUUCGACAAAGUAUGACACGAAGUACUACUAUACAAACUUUAAAAAAUCCUACCACACACCUACUACUCCAUCUUAAAGUCUUACCUAACCAAUAGGCAACUCAUGGUCAAAUACUUAGGCGUCACUUCCACAACGUUCCCAAUAGAAUCUAGCAUACCCCGAGGUAGUGUCCUCGGACGCCUGCUGUUCUCCAUCUACACUGCCGAUUUACCAACAUCAACAGAGAUAACAAUAGCAACAUUUCCUGACGACACAGCGCUACUAGCUUCCCACGCUACCCGAUAAUUGCUUCAUCCACUCUCCAGCGAUGUCUCGACUCCAUGGAAAAGUGGUUUCAUAAAUGGGGCUUCAAAAUUAAUG
Bombus impatiens (common eastern bumble bee) is the source of this 504-nucleotide long non-coding RNA. RefSeq lists it as uncharacterized. Lineage: Eukaryota; Metazoa; Arthropoda; Insecta; Hymenoptera; Apidae. The transcript has 2 exons. The record is from RefSeq and is a predicted model, not a curated record.